GAGUUUGAUCUUGGCUCAGGAUUAACGCUAGCGGCAGGCCUAAUACAUGCAAGUCGAACGGUAACAGGUGUAGCAAUACAUGCUGACGAGUGGCGCACGGGUGCGUAACACGUAUGCAACCUACCUAUAACUGGGGAAUAGCCUUCCGAAAGGAAGAUUAACACCGCAUAACAUCAUUCUACGGCAUCGCAGAAUGAUCAAACCUCCGGGGUUAUAGAUGGGCAUGCGUAACAUUAGCUAGUUGGUGAGGUAACGGCUCACCAAGGCUACGAUGUUUAGGGGUCUGAGAGGAUGAUCCCCCACACUGGUACUGAGACACGGACCAGACUCCUACGGGAGGCAGCAGUAAGGAAUAUUGGACAAUGGGGGCAACCCUGAUCCAGCCAUGCCGCGUGAAGGAUGAAGGCGCUCUGCGUUGUAAACUUCUUUUGUACGGGAUAAACUCCCGAUCGUGAUCGGGGUUGAAUGUACCGUAAGAAUAAGGAUCGGCUAACUUCGUGCCAGCCGCCGCGGU
Molecule: ribosomal RNA, 514 nt
Filed under: uncultured Sphingobacterium sp.
Lineage: Bacteria; Pseudomonadati; Bacteroidota; Sphingobacteriia; Sphingobacteriales; Sphingobacteriaceae
Description: bacterial SSU rRNA
Rfam family: Bacterial small subunit ribosomal RNA
Source: RNAcentral